RNAcentral lists this long non-coding RNA (2481 nucleotides) under Homo sapiens (human). Its description in RNAcentral is "HSALNT0077942". Lineage: Eukaryota; Metazoa; Chordata; Mammalia; Primates; Hominidae. The record is from RNAcentral.
CUUGGUUUUCUCUAUGAAUUCAACUAAUAAUGACAGCAGCACCAUUUAUUGAUAUUUUAUUCUAUUUCAAACAUUAUGUUCCAGACAUUUCAGAAAUGCUACUUCAUUCAAUCUUUUAAAAAUCCUGUAAUACAGAUAUAAACAUACCCUGAAGUCUCCUCUGAUACGUGGCUUUUUCGCUCCUGUAAUUUGUCAAGCAGGAGGGUAGUUCCUCGAGUGGGAGAGAAGGUUACAGCUCUUUUACUCCCACCUCCCACAGUUAGCUUGCUGGGUAAGCCAGUGACGUCACAACUUUUUCGCUCUGGCAGUUGGGCUAACAGGAGAGAGUGGCGUCCAAUGGUUUCUUCUCUCACAUUGUUUGGGGAGCAGAAGGGAAGGUUACAACUCUUUUACUCCCACCAUCCCCAGCUCAGCAAGUUCCAAGUUCUUGUCCUGCAACAAAGGAAUAAGAUAUGUCGACACCAGAAAGUAAAUAAGGCAGAAAAGAAUUUUGAGCUAUAGAAGGAAAACUCCCAGCUGCCAGAGGGGACCUGAAAGCCGGUUAGCCAUCUGUGAGGCUGAGUCCUGGGGGUUUUAUGGGCUUAGAAUGGGGAAGUGCAUGCUGAUUGGUCCAUGGGUGGUAUUGGAAAAAGCACCAUUGGAUUGGUUAAAGGGCAUCAUUCAGAAGGAACCAAUUGAGAGAGAGUGGGUAAGACAGGGAUAGUUCUCACUGCAGCUGUGGACUCUGUCUGGAACUGGCAGCUUGGAUCUCAGGCUUUAAGCUGUCCUUGGUUUGAGGAUCGGGUUUCCUGACUCUGCUUGCCUAGGAGUUUUUCUGUCUCCUGUCACUAUCACAGGCAUUCAUGAUCUCUUAGAUCACAUCACUUCCUAAAGAAGAUAGAACAAAAGACCACUUGAGCACUUCUCCUACCAUUUUCUACACUUCUAAAUGACACCAGCUUUUACAGAUGACAGAUCUCCUUUCAAUUGCAAAACUGUGGAGUUUACACAAUGAAUUAUAUGGCCUCACUUUUAUCAGAUGAAGCUUCAAGAUCAAGUCUCUCUACACCAAAAUCAGCUUUCAGUUUCCAUGGAACCAACUGAUAGAUGCCCCUACCUGAGGCCUGGUGGGUCAGAUAUCUCUAUUCACUUCACCCUUGGAUGACUAUCUUCACCUUUCUAGAGUUCUUAGUCAAGCACAAGCGAAAAGGGGAAACUUCAGUUUUUAUUUGCCAAAAAAAGAGAGAGGAAAAUAUGUCCUUGAAGCAAAGGAGCAAGACUUAGUUAGUUUGAAGCACAUUAAAGAAGACUACAGAGGAGAAGGCAAAAUGUACUUAUUUUAAAAUGUUCUCCAGCUUAGUUGUAUACACAUUUUCUUCACUGUUAUCUAGACUUAACUUUAUUUUAAAAUAUUUCAAGAUAAGACAAAAAUAUAUAAUAACAUAUGGAUACUAAUCAAAUGUUACCAAUACAUUGGAGUCCCCCUCAUCCUCCCAGAUAUAAUACAAUCCCCUCUUGCCACCACACAGGUAAGCACUAUCCUGAAUGUCAAAUUUUUUCUGACAUUUGCUUAUUUCUCUCAAAAUUCUGUAUGUGAGUUAUACCUUUGUUUAUACAUGUAGCACUAUUUUAUUCAUUUUUAUUGCUAUACACUAUAAUUAUGCUAUGAAUUGAAUUAUGUACCCUCUAAUUUCAUAGGUUGAAGUCCUAACCCCCAAUAUGAUUGUAUUUGGAGAUAGAGACUUUAGGAGUUAAAGAAGGUUGUUAGGUCAUAAAGAUGGGGCCCUAAUUCCAUAGAACUAAUAGCUUUAUAAGAAGAGGAACAAAGAGAAGCCUCUUUCUUCAAGCACAUGCACAGGGGGAAGACCAUACAAAAAUAUGAUAACCAUCUAUAAGCGAGUCAGAGAGCUCUCACCAAAAAAACAAAUCAGGCAGAACCUUAAUCUUAGACUUUCAGCCUCCAGAUCUGUGUUAAAAUAAACUUCUGUUGUUAAAGUCACAUUAAGUUUAUGGUAUUUUGCAUGGAAACCUGAGCAGACUAAUUAAAAAAAUUAAUAUCACAUCCUUUCUUCUUAAUGUAUAUCUAAGCAUGCAAUUACAUGUCUAAUAAAGCUUGGUUAAUAGAAAUGUUAUGCAUAGGUACUUGGAAAUGAGAAAAUAUACUCAAUUUUUUAUUUACUAAAUAUUUUUAUUUAUUUAUUUAUUUUGAGACAGGGUCUCAUCCUCUCACCUAGGCUGAAGUGCAGUGGUGUGAUCAUGGCUCACUGAAGCCUCAAUAUCCUGGUCUUAAGCCAUCCUCCCACCUCAGCGUCCUAAGUAGCUGGGACUACAAUCACACACCACCAAGCCCAGCUAAUUUUGUACUUUUUUUGUAGAGACUCAGUCUGGUCUUGAACUCCCAGGCUCAAGUGAUUUUCCUGCCUCGGCCUCCAAAUUGCUUGGAUUACAGGCAUGAACUACUGUGACCGGCCAACUAAAUUAUUUUUAAAAAAAUAAUUGUAC